AGCAAAACAAUGCGGGAGAUCUGGGCUGCAGCGGCAGAGCGGCUCCGGGAGCUGCUGGCCGCCCGCUCCGCACGGGCACGGCAGGGACAGGGAUAGGGCGGGGGGCACGGCCGCCCGCAGCCCUGAGUGCCGCCGCGGGAGCCACAGCUGUGGACUGGUGUACAUGUGGCUCUUCAUUCCCUUGUGAAAUCCACGAGAGAGGACUGCUGUCUUGUCACACAUUGGAUCCAUUGCUUUCAUGAGAUCCUGAACCAAAACAAAACAAGAUAAACAAUGUCACAAAAACUAAAAGUGCACUGACAUAUGGAAGGGUCUACGCAAGCAAAAGAAUGUUUCUGAGCAAAGAAAUUCUGAACACAAAACAGCAUAUCAAAAUGGAAACUAUAAUGAAAGACAAGAUGAGCCAAGUGAAAUGCUACACUCAGAGCAUAGUCACAUUUUACUUGAAUUCAGCUUUUGGACCUCUUCUUUUCUAAUGGGAACGCAUGCAACACAGCACACCUCUGUAUUUGGAUCUAAACGUUGUGGUGUAAGGACACGCUCCUGUGUGAGUGGCGGCCAUUUUGUCACAUUCCCGGAGGCCAAUUUGCACACAGGAGAAAGCUGCCGUGUCAUAGAACGUAAAUUAUGCAAGACUGCGUGUCACCUCAGAGAGAUAUACUCUUGCUGAUUUGUAAAUUAAAGACAAACCACAAAAGUUCCUAAUUCCUUCACAACAUAACUACUCAUGAGUUUCUGUUGAAAGACUGCCAUCAAAAGGCAAUAAAUCUUCAGGAAAUAAUAUCACAAUGCAAGCUUUAAAGCACUCAUGACUUUUCCCCAACUUUCUCUGGAAUAUUUCUUCCAAAAGAAAGCAGAUGGCAAAAUACUCAGUGGGACUGCUUUUGCGUUCAAACCCUCCCAGGGGUUUCCAUUAAUUCGAGUUGUCUCUACACAGACACAGACACGAACAGAAAUAGCUGUCCAUCUUUCCUUAGGAUCACCAUGUUUUUUUCCUCAAAGUGCUUCGCUUUAUCGGACGUAUUAUUUGAAACUAGCAUCGCUGCUAGGUGCAUUUGCACUGCAGAAACACAAUGAGAGAAAAUACAAAUCAACACUUCUGGCUGAAGUGAAUUUGCAGAUCCAGGAUGUGUCAGGGUCCAGCCUGGACCCAUCCUCCUCCUGUGAGGCCGUGGGACAGAGGACAGAGGACCCGACCUUUCUCUGCCAGCCUAGCUGCAUGGCAGGGCAAAAACAGGUCUGCUGUGGAAGUCAGAGACCACCACUGAGCUGAAGUUUCUCAAGAAGCUGAAUUACUGUGGAGUAUUAGGUUUAUUUAUUUACUGAUGUACCAGGGAAAAACAAACCCCUGAAAAGACAGAUUUUCAGAGCUGGCCUCAUUCUGUCUCUAUUGAUGUCAGAAACAUCCACUGAAACAAAAUAAAUCCAAUGUUGGACGAUUCCAAAGAUCUCACUUUUGUAAAGCACAAAGGAGUUCACAGCAACUUCAUUAGUGGCAUUGCAGUAACGAACAAAGCGCAGCCGGGUGCAGGGCGCUGGCUGGCAGCCCCGCGGUGGUGGCCGCAGCCUGGUGGCCCAGGGGACGUGCGUCAUAGCAGGGAGCACCCAGCCACGCCGGUGCUGAGCAGCCAGCCGUUGCCAGGGGAUACAGUGCUCACAGCAAGGGAGCGGGCUUGCACAACCUGGAAUGAGCGUUUCAGCCCAAAAAAGGGAAACAUCGCUCAUAGAAAUGCAACAGUGAAGGCUAAGCAUGAGAGAUAAUCAGAUGUUAAUAUAAACGCGUUCCUUUCCAGUGUAAUAAAUAAACAUCAGAAAACAUGACAAGCGUGUUCCAAGUAACAGAGGGAUUUUUUCUAACAAUAAAUUCAGAUAAGUCAGGUUCUGCUGUACAGAAACAAACAGGAGAGACACAGCAAACUCAGAACAGUGCACUGGUUUACAGCAGUGUUGCAACACCUCUGCGUUGGCGAGCCGCACUGCUGGACUUGAGCCCCACUGCACCUCCGCGUGGCCUACCCAUCCCACCCAAGGGUGUUUUAAGCAGCCCACAGCGGGGAGGAAUUAAAGGUUAAUGACUGCAUUUACACUAACCACCUCUCAUGAGUAGCUGCAUGAGGGAAGGAGCCCUGACCAACACCUAUUUUGAGUGAAGGCAGCCAGCUAACCAGCCAACACUUAAUGUCAGGUGCUCCGCCUUCAGACCACACGUGUUUGCACUGUUUUUCAGGUGAUUUCACUUUUGAUCAUGUACAAUCUGCAGAGACUACUAAGCUAGUCACAAGUUGUUUGUUUUUUUUUUAAAUGGGUUAUAUUUUAAUAUGCGCACAAAGAUGUUAGCUUGACAGUCCUGUUUUCCAUAAAACAUUCAUAACAAGCAAUAAAGAUGGAACUUUACUGC
This is a long non-coding RNA of Gallus gallus (chicken), 2398 nucleotides long. The record is from Ensembl. NCBI's taxonomy places the organism in Eukaryota, Metazoa, Chordata, Aves, Galliformes, Phasianidae.